GUGUGAUCGACCACUAACUUGGUGAUACCUAUCGUGCGGCCAGUGGGGGUAGUUAGAAGCAUUUAAUUCCAGCUUAUCUAUAAAAGGAGUCCUUGAUGCUUGAGGUCAAUAUCAACUCAAAACCUUCCAUAAUGUGGUAGCGUCGCUUUCUUCACCAUUCAAAAAAUAGUCAGUAUUUUCCUCCGAUUGAAAGAAUUUCUGCUAUCGCUCGACCAGUCCGC
Molecule: long non-coding RNA, 221 nt
Filed under: Elaeis guineensis (African oil palm)
Lineage: Eukaryota; Viridiplantae; Streptophyta; Magnoliopsida; Arecales; Arecaceae
Description: long non-coding RNA (EGUI_LNC028661)
Source: RNAcentral